GCGAGAGUGGCGGAACUGGUAUACGCACUGGACUUAGAAUCCAGCGGGGCAACCCAUGGGGGUUCAACUCCCCCCUUUCGCACCA
Molecule: transfer RNA, 85 nt
Filed under: bacterium
Lineage: Bacteria
Also listed under: 1 other name
Description: tRNA-Leu
Rfam family: tRNA
About the family: Transfer RNA (tRNA) molecules are approximately 80 nucleotides in length. Their secondary structure includes four short double-helical elements and three loops (D, anti-codon, and T loops). Further hydrogen bonds mediate the characteristic L-shaped molecular structure. tRNAs have two regions of fundamental functional importance: the anti-codon, which is responsible for specific mRNA codon recognition, and the 3' end, to which the tRNAs corresponding amino acid is attached (by aminoacyl-tRNA synthetases). tRNAs cope with the degeneracy of the genetic code in two manners: having more than one tRNA (with a specific anti-codon) for a particular amino acid; and 'wobble' base-pairing, i.e. permitting non-standard base-pairing at the 3rd anti-codon position.
Source: RNAcentral